RNAcentral lists this ribosomal RNA (460 nucleotides) under uncultured bacterium. RNAcentral describes it as "partial 16S ribosomal RNA". It matches the Rfam family "Bacterial small subunit ribosomal RNA", at positions 338 to 795 of the family's 1533-position model. The record is from RNAcentral.
CCUACGGGUGGCUGCAGUGAGGAAUAUUGGUCAAUGGGCGGGAGCCUGAACCAGCCAAGUCGCGUGAGGGAAGACGGUCCUAUGGAUUGUAAACCUCUUUAGGCGGGGAGCAAUGCCGGGCACGCGUGCCCGGAUGGAGAGUACCCGCAGAAUAAGCACCGGCAAACUCCGUGCCAGCAGCGGCGGUAAUACGUGGUAUGCGAGCGUUAUCCGGAUUGAUUGGGUUAAAGGGGGGCGUAGGCGGAUUGUUAAGUAAGCGGUAAAAUGUCGGGGCUCAACCCGGCCCGGCCGUUGAAACUGGUGAUCUUGAGUGGGCGAGAGGUAUGCGGAAUGCGUGGUGUAGCGGUGAAAUGCAUAGAUAUCACGCAGAACUCCGAUUGCGAAGGCAGCAUACCGGCGCCCGACUGACGCUGAGGCACGAAAGCGUGGGGAUCGAACAGGAUUAGAUACCCUAGUAGUC